Molecule: ribosomal RNA, 411 nt
Filed under: Lysobacteraceae bacterium
Lineage: Bacteria; Pseudomonadati; Pseudomonadota; Gammaproteobacteria; Lysobacterales; Lysobacteraceae
Description: bacterial SSU rRNA
Rfam family: Bacterial small subunit ribosomal RNA
Source: RNAcentral
AAAGCGAAGAGUUUGAUCCUGGCUCAGAUUGAACGCUGGCGGCAUGCCUAACACAUGCAAGUCGAGCGGCAGCACAGCCCCGCAAGGGGUGGGUGGCGAGCGGCGGACGGGUGAGGAAUGCAUCGGAAUCUGCCCUGUCGUGGGGGAUAACGUAGGGAAACUUACGCUAAUACCGCAUACGACCGAGAGGUGAAAGCGGGGGACCCGAGAGGGCCUCGCGCGGCAGGAUGAGCCGAUGCCCGAUUAGCUGGUUGGUGGGGUAACGGCCCACCAAGGCGACGAUCGGUAGCUGGUCUGAGAGGAUGAUCAGCCACACUGGGACUGAGACACGGCCCAGACUCCUACGGGAGGCAGCAGUGGGGAAUAUUGGACAAUGGGGGCAACCCUGAUCCAGCAAUGCCGCGUGUGUGA